AGUGAACGCUGGCGGUAGGCCUAACACAUGCAAGUCGAACGGCAGCACAGUAAGAGCUUGCUCUUACGGGUGGCGAGUGGCGGACGGGUGAGGAAUACAUCGGAAUCUACUUUUUCGUGGGGGAUAACGUCGGGAAACUUACGCUAAUACCGCAUACGACCUACGGGUGAAAGCAGGGGAUCUUCGGACCUUGCGCGAUUGAAUGAGCCGAUGUCGGAUUAGCUAGUUGGCGGGGUAAAGGCCCACCAAGGCGACGAUCCGUAGCUGGUCUGAGAGGAUGAUCAGCCACACUGGAACUGAGACACGGUCCAGACUCCUACGGGAGGCAGCAGUGGGGAAUAUUGGACAAUGGGCGCAAGCCUGAUCCAGCCAUAACGCGUGGGUGAAGAAGGCCUUCGGGUUGUAAAGCCCUUUUGUUGGGAAAGAAAAGCAGCAGGUUAAUACCCCGCUGUUCUGACGGUACCCAAAGAAUAAGCACCGGCUAACUUCGUG
Molecule: ribosomal RNA, 492 nt
Filed under: uncultured bacterium
Lineage: Bacteria
Description: partial 16S ribosomal RNA
Rfam family: Bacterial small subunit ribosomal RNA
Source: RNAcentral